GGUUUCCGUAGGUGAACCUGCGGAAGGAUCAUUAUUGAAAUAAACCUGAUAAGYUGCUGCUGGUUCUCUAGGGAGCAUGUGCACACUUGUCAUCUUUGUAUCUUCACCUGUGCACCUUUUGUAGACCUGAAUAUCUCUCUGAAUGCUCAGGAUUGAGGAUUGACUUGCUGUCUUUUCUUACAUUUUCAGGUCUAUGUUGUUUCAUAUACCCUAAUGUAUGUGGAUAGAAUGUAAUUAGUAGGCCUUUGUGUCUAUAAAUCUAUACAACUUUCAGCAACGGAUCUCUUGGCUCUCGCAUCGAUGAAGAACGCAGCGAAAUGCGAUAAGUAAUGUGAAUUGCAGAAUUCAGUGAAUCAUCGAAUCUUUGAACGCACCUUGCGCUCCUUGGUAUUCCGAGGAGCAUGCCUGUUUGAGUGUCAUUAAUAUUGAUCAACCUCUUUGGUUGGAUCUGGGUUUGCUGGCCCUUGAGGUCAGCUUUCCUUAAAUUCAUUAGCUGAUAACAUGUUGUUAACUGUUCAUUGGUGUGAUAAUUAUCUACACCAUUGAUGUGAAGCAAGGGUUCAGCUUCUAACAGUCCAUUGACUUGGACAAAUUUAUUAAAUGUGACCUCAAAUCAGGUAGGACUACCCGCUGAACUUAAGCAUAUCAAUAAGCGGAGGAAAAGAAACUAACAAGGAUUCCCCUAGUAACUGCGAGUGAAGCGGGAAAAGCUCAAAUUUAAAAUCUGGCAGUCUUUGGCUGUCCGAGUUGUAAUCUAGAGAAGUGUUAUCCGCGCUGGACCGUGUACAAGUCUCCUGGAAUGGAGCGUCAUAGAGGGUGAGAAUCCCGUCUUUGACACGGACUGCCAGGGCUUUUGUGAUGUGCUCUCAAAGAGUCGAGUUGUUUGGGAAUGCAGCUCAAAAUGGGUGGUAAAUUCCAUCUAAAGCUAAAUAUUGGCGAGAGACCGAUAGCGAACAAGUACCGUGAGGGAAAGAUGAAAAGAACUUUGGAAAGAGAGUUAAACAGUACGUGAAAUUGCUGAAAGGGAAACGCUUGAAGUCAGUCACGUUGUCCAGGGAUCAACUCUUGCUUUUGCUUGGUGUACUUUCUGGUUAACGGGUCAGCAUCAAUUCUGACUAUUGGAAAAAGAUCAGGGGAAUGUGGCAUCUUUGGAUGUGUUAUAACCCUUGGUUGCAUACAUUAGUUGAGAUUGAGGAACUCAGCAUUCCGCAAGGCCGAGUUUUUUUAAACUACGUUACAUGCUUAGGAUGUGGCAUAA
This 1258-nucleotide ribosomal RNA is filed under the name Cortinarius olivascentium. RNAcentral's name for it is "eukaryotic LSU rRNA". The stretch from base 604 to 1258 matches the Rfam family "Eukaryotic large subunit ribosomal RNA", at positions 1 to 633 of the family's 3401-position model. The record is from RNAcentral. Lineage: Eukaryota; Fungi; Basidiomycota; Agaricomycetes; Agaricales; Cortinariaceae.